CAGGCUUUCAACUUCAAUAGAUGCUUUGAAGGGGCUCGACUUGAUCUUGAUACCAUCAAUGGUGGCGGCACUGCCCUUCGGGACCAAUAUCACUAACCUACAGUCAUUAUCAUAAGCUCCAAUUUCCUCCAUUUCUUCAGUUUUUGCUAAUCCUAACUAUGGAACAAGGUACUCCUUUUACAUUUUUUCUUUAAUUUUCAACUCAGAAUAUUUAUACGUUUUCAGGUUGGCGGGGCGACCGUCCAGUCACUAAGCUACCAAAAAAAAUAAGGGUAAACCAAUGUGGUCAUGACAUCUUAGGUGCUUGUGAAGGAAUGGAUGUGACCUGCAGUCAUCAAACUAUCAAACAUGUUUGGUUUUUCUUAGCUAUUUUUGACAGUUUUUAGAGCACUCGAGUUCUCACUUUCUUGUUUUUAAGAUACUCAAAUUGUAGUUUUGGGCACGAGCUACAAGCACUAGGUAGGUCUUUUUGGACAAAAACCUUAAAAAUAAGUUUUAGUCAUGUGCUUAGCACCCAACUCAGUUUUAUAAAGCUAUUUUAGUCAAUUUAUUUCUUUAGAGUAAUUUAAAAUCAAAAGGAAAAGAUAAAAGAAUAACCAUUAAAAUAUAAAUAGUCUUCUUCCACAAACAACCAUUCCUUCUAUUACCAGAGAGUUCGCCAGCAGCCUAUACUUUGGUCGCCUUCACCCUCUCCCCAAGUCUUCUCUUGGUUCUCGCAAAACCAAGAAGGAGAAAUCCUUCCAAGUUCGUGGGAGAUGUUGGGAUUGGGGGAUAGAGGUGAAGGUUGUAGAGGUUUAGGUCAGUGUCAAUCCACGAGUUUUUCUUCCUUUUCUUCUACCGCAUUCGUUAAAAG
This 853-nucleotide long non-coding RNA is filed under the name Olea europaea subsp. europaea. Lineage: Eukaryota; Viridiplantae; Streptophyta; Magnoliopsida; Lamiales; Oleaceae. The record is from RNAcentral.